GCUCCGGUGGUGCAAUUGGUCAGCAUGUGGUACUUAUAAGACAGUACGUUGUAGAGCAAUGCUGAGAUUGUGAGUUCAAGCCUCACCUGGAGCA
Molecule: transfer RNA, 94 nt
Filed under: Perca fluviatilis (European perch)
Lineage: Eukaryota; Metazoa; Chordata; Actinopteri; Perciformes; Percidae
Rfam family: tRNA
About the family: Transfer RNA (tRNA) molecules are approximately 80 nucleotides in length. Their secondary structure includes four short double-helical elements and three loops (D, anti-codon, and T loops).
Source: Rfam by way of RNAcentral